CAGUAGCCGCGGUAAAACCAGCAGCCCAAGUGGUGGUCGCGUUUAUUGGGCCUAAAGCGCUCGCAGCCUGACCGGUAAGUUCCCCGUGAAAUCGGGUCGCCCAACGAUUCGGCUUGCGGGGAAUACUGUCGGUCUUGGGGCCGGGAGACGCCGAGGGUACUCCGGGGGUAGCGGUGAAAUGCUGUAAUCCUCGGGGGACUACCAGUGGCGAAGGCGCUCGGCGAUAACGGGCCUGACGGUGAGGGGCGAAAGCUGGGGGCGCGAACGGGAUUAGAUACCCCGGUAGUCCCUGUCUCUUAUA
RNAcentral lists this ribosomal RNA (301 nucleotides) under uncultured bacterium. Its description in RNAcentral is "partial 16S ribosomal RNA". It matches the Rfam family "Archaeal small subunit ribosomal RNA", at positions 459 to 759 of the family's 1478-position model. The record is from RNAcentral.